GACGAACGCUGGCGGCGUGCUUAACACAUGCAAGUCGAACGGGCCUUGUCCCCUUUUUUUUGGGGGUGGGGUUAGUGGCGAACGGGUGAGUAACACGUGAGUAACCUGCCCCUCACUUCUGGAUAACCGCUUGAAAGGGUGGCUAAUACGGGGUGUUCUGGCCUGCUCGCAUGGGUGGGUUUGGAAAGAUUCGACCGGUUUUGGUUGUUUUGGUGGGGGUUGGGCUCGCGGCCUAUCAGCUUGUUGGUGGGGUGAUGGCCUGCCAAGGCUUUGACGGGUAGCCGGCCUGAGAGGGUGGGCGGUCACACUGGGACUGAGACACGGCCCAGACUCCUACGGGAGGCAGCAGUGGGGAAUAUUGCACAAUGGGCGCAAGCCUGAUGCAGCGACGCCGCGUGAGGGAUGGAGGCCUUCGGGUUGUGAACCUCUUUCGCCAGUGAAGAAGGUCCUGCUCUUUGUGGUGGGGUUGACGGUAGCUGGGUUAAUGAAGCGCCGGCUAACUACGUG
RNAcentral lists this ribosomal RNA (507 nucleotides) under uncultured bacterium. Its description in RNAcentral is "partial 16S ribosomal RNA". It matches the Rfam family "Bacterial small subunit ribosomal RNA", at positions 28 to 507 of the family's 1533-position model. The record is from RNAcentral.